ACCGGAUGGCUCCAAGGACUCUCGCUCUGCUCAAUGACCCCAAGAUUAAGCAUCCUAUCAAGCUCUGCGUACAUCAACUUCUGCACAGCUGGUGAGACCGGAUAAUGCUUGUCCUUAACUGGAAUCGCAUCGCGAGUGUCGAUUGUAUGGGAUUCGAGGGAAGUCUGACCAAGUCCCUUCUUCGUAAAACAUGGAAAUUUCGCUACUAAAAUAUCUAAUGACGCCUUCUGACUCGGAACGUAUAAAUCUUAACAAAGAAAAGGUUAAAACUCAAAAUGGAAAAGAAGAUUCAAAACUUAAUCUUGUGAACGGCGAUGUUUUUUGGGUAAGUAAUGUUUGCAGGUAAAGUGUAUAGAAAUUGUUCGAAGAUAUGUACUAAUUGUUUUUCUAUUGGUUUCAGGAAGUGGAAAAAGUAAAUGGAUAAAUAAAAAAAAAGGUAGUAUUUGUUCUACCGCAGCUCAAAUUUCAAGGGGCAUCUAGAAGAUUGGUGUUGAAAACCCAGUACGCCUAGGACUACCCUAUCUAUUUUACCGCAGACAAAACCGUUACUGCUUUCCCGCUCUAUUCCCUGGCGGCCAACUAAUUUUGCGGAAGAAUCUCCCGGGUGAGGAUAGGGUAGAUGGAUAUUUCCUGUCAGUGACGUGUCUAAAUGUCUAAGUGGUUCGAGGAGAAUUACCUAUAUAAGAUUUAGGAAAAUCUUGGGUUAAUUAACCUCGCGACUCACUGUUCCCUAGGCCAGAGCUCUAACCUAACUCGCGCACGCGUGGUUAAGGUUCACACGCGGGAUGGACUUUGCGAUACUUAAGA
Molecule: long non-coding RNA, 807 nt
Organism: Calliphora vicina (urban bluebottle blowfly)
Lineage: Eukaryota; Metazoa; Arthropoda; Insecta; Diptera; Calliphoridae
Exons: 4
Source: RefSeq, a predicted model, not a curated record